Molecule: ribosomal RNA, 468 nt
Filed under: uncultured bacterium
Lineage: Bacteria
Description: partial 16S ribosomal RNA
Rfam family: Bacterial small subunit ribosomal RNA
Source: RNAcentral
GACGAACGCUGGCGGCGUGCUUAACACAUGCAAGUCGAACGGAAAGGCCCUGCUUUUGUGGGGUGCUCGAGUGGCGAACGGGUGAGUAACACGUGAGUAACCUGCCCUUGACUUUGGGAUAACUUCAGGAAACUGGGGCUAAUACCGGAUAGGAGCUCCUGCUGCAUGGUGGGGGUUGGAAAGUUUCGGCGGUUGGGGAUGGACUCGCGGCUUAUCAGCUUGUUGGUGGGGUAGUGGCUUACCAAGGCUUUGACGGGUAGCCGGCCUGAGAGGGUGACCGGCCACAUUGGGACUGAGAUACGGCCCAGACUCCUACGGGAGGCAGCAGUGGGGAAUAGUGCACAAUGGGCGGAAGCCUGAUGCAGCAACGCCGCGUGCGGGAUAACGGCCUUCGGGUUGUAAACCGCUUUCGCCUGUGACGAAGCGUGAGUGACGGUAAUGGGUAAAGAAGCACCGGCUAACUACGUG